This 73-nucleotide transfer RNA is filed under the name Riverina rivularis. RNAcentral's name for it is "Hildenbrandia rivularis tRNA-Ala". It matches the Rfam family "tRNA". From Rfam's summary of the family: Transfer RNA (tRNA) molecules are approximately 80 nucleotides in length. Their secondary structure includes four short double-helical elements and three loops (D, anti-codon, and T loops). Lineage: Eukaryota; Rhodophyta; Florideophyceae; Hildenbrandiales; Hildenbrandiaceae. The record is from RNAcentral.
GGGGGUAUAGCUCAGUUGGUAGAGCGUUGCUUUUGCAAGGCAAAUGCCAGUGGUUCGAAUCCGCUUACCUCCA